AGUCGAGGGGUAUUGGUUUUCGGACCAGAGACCGGCGCACGGGUGCGUAACGCGUAUGCAAUCUACCUUUUACAGAGGGAUAGCCCAGAGAAAUUUGGAUUAAUACCUCAUAGUAUUAUGAAAUGGCAUCAUUUUAUAAUUAAAGUCACAACGGUAAAAGAUGAGCAUGCGUCCCAUUAGCUAGUUGGUAAGGUAACGGCUUACCAAGGCUACGAUGGGUAGGGGUCCUGAGAGGGAGAUCCCCCACACUGGUACUGAGACACGGACCAGACUCCUACGGGAGGCAGCAGUGAGGAAUAUUGGACAAUGGGCGCAAGCCUGAUCCAGCCAUGCCGCGUGCAGGAUGACGGUCCUAUGGAUUGUAAACUGCUUUUAUACAGGAAGAAACACUGGUUCGUGAACCAGCUUGACGGUACUGUAAGAAUAAGGAUCGGCUAACUCCGUGCCAGCAGCCGCGGUAAUACGGAGGAUCCAAGCGUUAUCCGGAAUCAUUGGGUUUAAAGGGUCCGUAGGCGGUUUAAUAAGUCAGUGGUGAAAGCCCAUCGCUCAACGGUGGAACGGCCAUUGAUACUGUUAAACUUGAAUUAUUAGGAAGUAACUAGAAUAUGUAGUGUAGCGGUGAAAUGCUUAGAGAUUACAUGGAAUACCAAUUGCGAAGGCAGGUUACUACUAAUGGAUUGACGCUGAUGG
Molecule: ribosomal RNA, 690 nt
Filed under: Flavobacterium sp. T101.09.P.CHS.MI.H.Kidney.N
Lineage: Bacteria; Pseudomonadati; Bacteroidota; Flavobacteriia; Flavobacteriales; Flavobacteriaceae
Also listed under: 1 other name
Description: bacterial SSU rRNA
Rfam family: Bacterial small subunit ribosomal RNA
Source: RNAcentral